Molecule: unclassified non-coding RNA, 80 nt
Filed under: Pseudomonas helmanticensis
Lineage: Bacteria; Pseudomonadati; Pseudomonadota; Gammaproteobacteria; Pseudomonadales; Pseudomonadaceae
Source: RNAcentral
UGUAGGAGCUGCCGAAGGCUGCGAUCUUUUGAUCUUGAUCUUUAAAAGGCAAAAGAUCGCAGCCUUCGGCAGCUCCUACA